UCUUAAGUUCUAGAAAUAUAUUACAUCACGUGAUUACGAUACUCAUGCAGUUAACAUACUUUAGAUACGUAGGAUAUACAGUCGCAGAUACGUAACAAACACACAACAUACACAGAUACAUCACAAUCACACGACAUUAACAAUCUAUAACUUUCAACAAUUUUUACUAUCAGAAUUAAAGUUUUCAUAUUAAUAUAAUCUUUUUGUGUUCAGUUCAGUCAAC
Molecule: non-coding RNA, 223 nt
Organism: Paramuricea clavata
Lineage: Eukaryota; Metazoa; Cnidaria; Anthozoa; Malacalcyonacea; Plexauridae
Source: the annotation of a GenBank genome assembly